GCAUUCAGUUGCCAUCGGGUAAGUGCCGGGCACUCUGGAAGGACUGCCAUCGACAAGAUGGAGGAAGGUGGGGAGUGACGUCAAGUCAUCAUGGCCCUUAUGUCCAGGGCUACACACGUGCUACAAUGGCCGAUACAGAGGGCAGCUACCUGGUGACAGGAUGCAAAUCUCCAAAGCCGGUCUCAGUUCGGAUCGGAGUCUGCAACCCGACUCCGUGAAGUUGGAUUCGCUAGUAAUCGCGCAUCAGCCAUGGCGCGGUGAAUACGUUCCCGGGCCUU
Molecule: ribosomal RNA, 278 nt
Filed under: uncultured Sphingobacteriales bacterium
Lineage: Bacteria; Pseudomonadati; Bacteroidota; Sphingobacteriia; Sphingobacteriales
Description: partial 16S ribosomal RNA
Rfam family: Bacterial small subunit ribosomal RNA
Source: RNAcentral